This is a non-coding RNA of Paramuricea clavata, 852 nucleotides long. NCBI's taxonomy places the organism in Eukaryota, Metazoa, Cnidaria, Anthozoa, Malacalcyonacea, Plexauridae. The record is from the annotation of a GenBank genome assembly.
CGGGUAACUGGCUGGCGAAGGUAAAUAUGUUAAACAGAGUGUAAUACGGUACGUGGCAUCUCUUGUCCAUCUUAAAAGAAAAUACUUCAAAUACAUUUGUCUUCAUAACAUUUUGCUACAUUUAGAGUAUUAUGUUUAAUAUUAAAUUAUAUGUACAUUCUCCCAAUGCUAUCAUUUGCAAGCAACCGCAAAAUCCAAACUUUUUUUUCAUAUUUGUUUACGUUUCAAACGUACACGUUGGGCGGGUCAAACGUGCAUGUUGACACGUAACAAUCAAUUUGUUUGAACUGCGAAAUAGUGACGUUUUAGAAAUCUCGCCCAUACGUUUGACCAACGCGAAAGCAUGUUCAAGACCAGAUAUCAUGCGUUUCACAACUUCACAACUUAUACUUUCCUGAUACAGCAAUUUUCGUCCAAGCACAAACCGCAAACAUUUUCGCGCGUUUGUUUACGUUUGAAACGGGGCGUUUACCGCUGGAAACUGAAAUGUUUCACCGCUCAUGUGACGUGUCACAUUGAAAAGCCUUAAGCUAUUUUUGGCGCAACUGCCAUGUUUUGAUGUGCCUUCGUGCACGUUUCAAUAUUUUCCGGCCCAUGAUAAUACGUUCUAGUCACAAAAAGUAUGAAUAUAAACAAGUUUGGUCGCUCUUACAAUAUUGUGAGCUUGGAAACACUGAAAAGUACACGAAAGCACAUCAAAACAUGAAAAAUAAUUGAAUUAGGCUUUUCACUAUAACACGUCGAAUGAGGGGUGUUUCGAAAACGAAGACCUACGAAAACGAAGACCGAAGACCUAAGAUGGGUCUUCGUAAUUACGAAAACGAAGACCCACUACAAAAACGAAGACCCAUC